GGAAGUGUCAAAUUGGAAAGAAAAACUCGAGUUGAGGACAUACAGGAAAGAUUUUCAGUUUGGGUGUCAAAUAAGAAAGGACCAUUAUUUUUAGGGCUAAAUAGGAAAUUUUCUCUCAUUUUAAUGCAGCAACGUAACACAUUAAAGGUACAAUCCACAAGCGGCAACGCAACACAUUAAAGGUACAAUCCACAAGAACUAUUUCCAGCUCUAGACCAGUUUAUAGAUGAUUCCAACAUUGAACUUUAUCCAGCAUCAGUCGGUUUCACCCAGCUAAAAACAGAAACAGAUCACGCUAGACGACAAGCUAUAUCAACUGCCCGAGCUAUUC
RNAcentral lists this long non-coding RNA (331 nucleotides) under Sorghum bicolor (sorghum). RNAcentral describes it as "long non-coding RNA (SBIC_LNC015202)". The record is from RNAcentral. Lineage: Eukaryota; Viridiplantae; Streptophyta; Magnoliopsida; Poales; Poaceae.